UUGAGAAACAGAAAAAUCUUAAAAAUAGUUUUUACAAACAACAAAUCCGUGUUUAUCGAUCGAAUCACUAAUUCAUCUGGUGGUGCCGUCGCCCCUCUCAUUCUCUUAGCCUUCUUCAGCUCCUCUCAUCCGGUUCCUCUUUCUCUUGCACUAAUUUUGGCGUAAUUCAUGGAGAAUUAGAGGCAUUGUUUGAGGAGGGCAUUUUAGGUACUGGUGUGGUGUUUUGGAUUUGGAACAAUGUCCCGAAAGGACAACGUCAACCAGUGCCGUUGUCGGUUCUACUGCAACGAGAAUCUGACAAUGAAAAUAUAGAGAACCGGAGAUUGUACACGGACUAGCGAGCCAGAGAAAAGGUGAGGACUUUACGUUGCUUCAAACGGAAUGCCAAAGACAAUCGGAGACUGUGUCACCACAUUUCAGUUUUCGGGCUCUUUGAUGGACACAAUGGAGCUGCUGCUGCUAUUACACUAAAGAGAAUCUCCU
Long non-coding RNA from Hibiscus syriacus, 483 nucleotides. RefSeq lists it as uncharacterized. Lineage: Eukaryota; Viridiplantae; Streptophyta; Magnoliopsida; Malvales; Malvaceae. The record is from RefSeq and is a predicted model, not a curated record. The transcript has 3 exons.